RNAcentral lists this ribosomal RNA (405 nucleotides) under uncultured bacterium. RNAcentral's name for it is "partial 16S ribosomal RNA". It matches the Rfam family "Bacterial small subunit ribosomal RNA", at positions 30 to 526 of the family's 1533-position model. The record is from RNAcentral.
AUUGAACGCUGGCGGCAGGCUUAACACAUGCACGUCGAACGAGUGGCGGACGGGUGAGUAAUGCUUGGGAAUCUGGCUUCUGUAUGGGGAUAACGACGGGAAACUGUCGCUAAUACCUCGUACCAUAGGAUGAGCCCAAAUGGGAUUAGGUCGUUGGUGGGGUAAUGGCCUACCAAGCCGACGAUCUCUAGCUGGUCUGAGAGGAUGACAAGCCACACUGUGACUGAGACACGGCCCGGACUCCUACGGGAGGCAGCAGUGGGGAAUAUUGCGCAAUGGGGGCAACCUGACGCAGCCAUGCCGCGUGAAUGAAGAAGGCCUUCGGGUUGUAAAGUUCUUUCGGUGACGAGGCGUUAAUCACAGAAGAAGCACCGGCUAACUCCGUGCCAGCAGCCGCGGUAAUAC